GUGCUUGCUUCAGCAGCACAUACACUAAGAUUGUAACACUAUAGAGAAGAUUAGCAUGGCCUCUGUGCAAGGAUGACACACAAGUUCGUGAAGUAUUCCAUAUAUUU
Molecule: small nuclear RNA, 107 nt
Organism: Vulpes vulpes (red fox)
Lineage: Eukaryota; Metazoa; Chordata; Mammalia; Carnivora; Canidae
Source: Ensembl